UACGAAGGGGGCUAGCGUUGUUCGGAAUCACUGGGCGUAAAGCGUACGUAGGCGGACCAUUAAGUCGGGGGUGAAAUCCCAGGGCUCAACCCUGGAACUGCCUUCGAUACUGGUGGUCUGGGGUCCGGGAGAGGUGAGUGGAACUCCUAGUGUAGAGGUGAAAUUCGUAGAUAUUAGGAAGAACACCAGAGGCGAAGGCGACGCCCUGGCUCGUACCUGACGCUCAGCCACGAAAGCAUGGGGAGCGAACGGG
Molecule: ribosomal RNA, 253 nt
Filed under: uncultured bacterium
Lineage: Bacteria
Description: partial 16S ribosomal RNA
Rfam family: Bacterial small subunit ribosomal RNA
Source: RNAcentral